Molecule: ribosomal RNA, 305 nt
Filed under: uncultured Treponema sp.
Lineage: Bacteria; Pseudomonadati; Spirochaetota; Spirochaetia; Treponematales; Treponemataceae
Description: bacterial SSU rRNA
Rfam family: Bacterial small subunit ribosomal RNA
Source: RNAcentral
CUAAAGAAUAUUCCGCAAUGGGGGAAACCCUGACGGAGCGACGCCGCGUGGAUGAUGAAGGCCGGAAGGUUGUAAAAUCCUUUUGUGAGUGAGGAAUAAGCAGGGCAAGCAAAGGCCGUGCGGUGACUGUAGCUCAUGAAUAAGCACCGGCUAAUUACGUGCCAGCAGCCGCGGUAACACGUAAGGUGCGAGCGUUGUUCGGAAUCAUUGGACGUAAAGGGCAUGUAGGCGGAACUGCAAGCCCGGUGUGAAAACCCUGAGCUCAACUCAGGAACUGCGCCGGGAACUGCAGAACUGGAGUCACU